GAUGAACGCUGGCGGCGUGCCUAAUACAUGCAAGUCGAGCGAACAGACGAGGAGCUUGCUCCUUCGACGUUAGCGGCGGACGGGUGAGUAACACGUAGGUAACCUACCUAUAAGACUGGGAUAACUUCGGGAAACCGGAGCUAAUACCGGAUAAUAUUUCGAACCGCAUGGUUCGAUAGUGAAAGAUGGCUUUGCUAUCACUUAUAGAUGGACCUGCGCCGUAUUAGCUAGUUGGUAAGGUAACGGCUUACCAAGGCAACGAUACGUAGCCGACCUGAGAGGGGGAUCGGCCACACUGGAACUGAGACACGGUCCAGACUCCUAAGGGAGGCAGCAGUAGGGAAUGUUCCGCAAUGGGCGAAAGCCUGACGGAGCAACGCCGCGUGAGUGAUGAAGGUCUUCGGAUCGUAAAACUCUGUUAUUAGGGAAGAACAAACGUGUAAGUAACUGUGCACGUCUUGACGGUACCUAAUCAGAAAGCCACGGCUAACUACGUG
RNAcentral lists this ribosomal RNA (497 nucleotides) under uncultured bacterium. RNAcentral describes it as "partial 16S ribosomal RNA". It matches the Rfam family "Bacterial small subunit ribosomal RNA", at positions 28 to 507 of the family's 1533-position model. The record is from RNAcentral.